UACGGAGGGGGCUAGCGUUAUUCGGAAUUAUUGGGCGUAAAGGGCGCGUAGGCGGCCCGGUAAGUCAAAGGUGAAAUCCCUCGGCUCAACUGAGGAACUGCCUUUGAAACUGUCGGGCUUGAGGCCGGGAGGGGGUAGCGGAAUUCCCAGUGUAGAGGUGAAAUUCGUAGAUAUUAGGAAGAACACCAGUGGCGAAGGCGGCUCACUGGCCCGGUACUGACGCUGAGGCGCGAAAGCGUGGGGAGCAAACAGG
This 253-nucleotide ribosomal RNA is filed under the name uncultured bacterium. Its description in RNAcentral is "partial 16S ribosomal RNA". It matches the Rfam family "Bacterial small subunit ribosomal RNA", at positions 524 to 776 of the family's 1533-position model. The record is from RNAcentral.